UACGUAGGUGGCAAGCGUUGUCCGGAUUUACUGGGCGUAAAGGAUGCGUAGGCGGACAUUUAAGUCAGAUGUGAAAUACCCGAGCUUAACUUGGGUGCUGCAUUUGAAACUGGGUGUCUAGAGUGCAGGAGGGGUAAGUGGAAUUCCUAGUGUAGCGGUGAAAUGCGUAGAGAUUAGGAAGAACACCAGUGGCGAAGGCGACUUACUGGACUGUAACUGACGCUGAGGCAUGAAAGCGUGGGGAGCAAACAGG
This 253-nucleotide ribosomal RNA is filed under the name uncultured bacterium. Its description in RNAcentral is "partial 16S ribosomal RNA". It matches the Rfam family "Bacterial small subunit ribosomal RNA", at positions 524 to 776 of the family's 1533-position model. The record is from RNAcentral.